UGGCGUCUGACUAUUUCACCAC
RNAcentral lists this non-coding RNA (22 nucleotides) under Arabidopsis thaliana (thale cress). Lineage: Eukaryota; Viridiplantae; Streptophyta; Magnoliopsida; Brassicales; Brassicaceae. The record is from RNAcentral.